Molecule: long non-coding RNA, 334 nt
Filed under: Elaeis guineensis (African oil palm)
Lineage: Eukaryota; Viridiplantae; Streptophyta; Magnoliopsida; Arecales; Arecaceae
Description: long non-coding RNA (EGUI_LNC050137)
Source: RNAcentral
UUGGUUCAUCUUUUGGAGUCUCCGAUCCAGAAAAUCCUCUCGACUUCGGGUCUCGAGGGUCCUCUGACAGAAUGGGGGCAGGGAUCUUCCAGGGGUGGAGUCGUGAUUCGAUCGAGGGCUCUCCACCCUCGGGUUCGUCUUCCCAGGAAAGAUGGGAUGGCUGGCCCAAGUGGCCCGCCCCACUGUCGGAUUCUGGUGUUUCGGUGACACCCUUUCCAGGUGCACUGAUGCUUGCGGCUGCUGCUGCUACUGCAUGGCCUAUACGGCCUCAGUGAAGCCUCUGACCUGCUGCGCCAGCAGAUCAAAUUGCUCUGCAUCGACCGCCAUCACCGGA